UAAAGGCUUGGUCCUGACUUUACUAUCAGCUUCAACUCAACUUAUACAUGCAAGUAUCCGCACCCCCGUGAGAAUGCCCUCAAUCCCCCGUCCGGAGAUGAGGAGCGGGCAUCAGGCACUUCCCCACAGCCCAAGACGCCUUGCUACGCCACACCCCCAAGGGAAUUCAGCAGUAAUAAACAUUAAGCCAUAAGCGAAAGCUCGACUUAGUUAGAGUUUCUAGGGCCGGUAAAACUCGUGCCAGCCACCGCGGUCAUACGAGUGACCCAAGUAGAUAGACACGGCGUAAAGAGUGGUUAGGGGCACAAACAAAUAGGGCCGAACACCCUCCAGGCUGUUAUACGCUUUUCGAGAUCACGAAGCCCCACCACGAAAGUGGCCCUACCAAAAACUACCCGAACCCACGAAAGCUAAGAAACAAACUGGGAUUAGAUACCCCACUAUGCUUAGCCAUAAACAUAGAUGCUAACCUACAACUAUCAUCCGCCAGGGUACUACGAGCACCAGCUUAAAACCCAAAGGACUUGGCGGUGCUUCAGACCCACCUAGAGGAGCCUGUUCUAGAACCGAUAAUCCCCGUUCAACCUCACCACCCCUUGCCCUCUCCGCCUAUAUACCACCGUCGUCAGCUCACCCCGUGAGAGUCAAACAGUGAGCGCAAUGGGCAAACCCCAGAACGUCAGGUCGAGGUGUAGCGAAUGAGGUGGGAAGAAAUGGGCUACAUUUUCUGCCACAGAAUACUACGAAAAGCAAACUGAAAUAAAUGCUUUAAAGGUGGAUUUAGUAGUAAAAAGAAAACAGAGAGUUCUUUUGAACCAGGCUCUGAAGCACGCACACACCGCCCGUCACCCUCCCCAAACGUAACCAUAACAUAGUAACUUAACACCCAAACCUUCAACACGGGGAGGCAAGUCGUAACAUGGUAAGUGUACCGGAAGGUGCACUUGGAAAAAC
Molecule: non-coding RNA, 954 nt
Filed under: Ichthyborus sp. NM-2010
Lineage: Eukaryota; Metazoa; Chordata; Actinopteri; Characiformes; Citharinidae
Description: 12S rRNA
Rfam family: Bacterial small subunit ribosomal RNA
Source: RNAcentral